Molecule: non-coding RNA, 77 nt
Organism: Podarcis lilfordi (Lilford's wall lizard)
Lineage: Eukaryota; Metazoa; Chordata; Lepidosauria; Squamata; Lacertidae
Source: the annotation of a GenBank genome assembly
UAUAUAUAUAUGUGUGUGUGUGUGUGUGUGUGUGUGUGUAUACACACAUACACAUACACACACAAAAUGGAGACACU